RNAcentral lists this non-coding RNA (114 nucleotides) under pig gut metagenome. RNAcentral describes it as "FMN riboswitch (RFN element)". It matches the Rfam family "FMN riboswitch aptamer (RFN element)". From Rfam's summary of the family: The RFN element is a highly conserved domain that is found frequently in the 5'-untranslated regions of prokaryotic mRNAs that encode for flavin mononucleotide (FMN) biosynthesis and transport proteins. This element is a metabolite-dependent riboswitch that directly binds FMN in the absence of proteins. The record is from RNAcentral.
GCUUCAGGGCGGGGCGAAAUUCCCCACCGGCGGUAAAGUCCGCGAACCAAUUUAAAUUGAUUGGCCGAUUCGGUGAAAUUCCGAAACCGACAGUAUAGUCUGGAUGGAAGAAGU